Molecule: ribosomal RNA, 510 nt
Filed under: uncultured bacterium
Lineage: Bacteria
Description: bacterial SSU rRNA
Rfam family: Bacterial small subunit ribosomal RNA
Source: RNAcentral
CGGCAUGCCUAAGACAUGCAAGUCGAACGAAGUAGUCCAAUGAAGAUGGAGUGCUUGCACAAAAUUGGAAUUGGGUUGCUACUUAGUGGCAGACGGGUGAGUAACACGUGGGUAACCUACCUUAGAGACUGGGAUAACGGUUAGAAAUGAUCGCUAAUACCGGAUGAUACGUAAUUAGAUAACUAGAUACGUUAAAAGGAGCAUUUGCUUCACUUUAAGAUGGGCUUGCGUUGUAUUAGCUAGUUGGUGGGGUAAUGGCCUACCAAGGCAACGAUGCAUAUCCGAGCUGAGAGGCUGAUCGGACACACUGGGACUGAGACACGGCCCAGACUCCUACGGGAGACAGCAGUUAGGAAUAUUCGUCAAUGGGGGAAACCCUGAACGAGCAAUGCCGCGUGAGUGAUGAAGGCCCUAUGGGUUGUAAAACUCUGUUGUAAAGGAAGAAUACCUAGUAUAGGAAAUGAUGCUAGGAUGACGGUACUUUACCAGAAAGCCCCGGCUAACUACGUG